Molecule: ribosomal RNA, 384 nt
Filed under: uncultured bacterium
Lineage: Bacteria
Description: bacterial SSU rRNA
Rfam family: Bacterial small subunit ribosomal RNA
Source: RNAcentral
AUUGAACGCUGGCGGCAGGCCUAACACAUGCAAGUCGAGCGGUAACAGAUCUAGCUUGCUAGAUGCUGACGAGCGGCGGACGGGUGAGUAAUGCAUAGGAAUCUGCCCGGUAGUGGGGGAUAACCUGGGGAAACCCAGGCUAAUACCGCAUACGUCCUACGGGAGAAAGGGGGCUUCGGCUCCCGCUACGGGAUGAGCCUAUGUCGGAUUAGCUAGUUGGUGAGGUAAAGGCUCACCAAGGCUGCGAUCCGUAGCUGGUCUGAGAGGAUGAUCAGCCACAUCGGGACUGAGACACGGCCCGAACUCCUACGGGAGGCAGCAGUGGGGAAUAUUGGACAAUGGGGGGAACCCUGAUCCAGCCAUGCCGCGUGUGUGAAGAAGGCC